Molecule: long non-coding RNA, 3005 nt
Organism: Benincasa hispida (wax gourd)
Lineage: Eukaryota; Viridiplantae; Streptophyta; Magnoliopsida; Cucurbitales; Cucurbitaceae
Source: RefSeq, a predicted model, not a curated record
CCGAAAUAUCACUCAAGUUGAGAUCUUUUUCUUUCAAUUCAAUAAUAAAUUGAGUUGGUGUUAGAGAUGGUCGGUAGAGGGCGGUGGUAGCCAGCGACAGCCAUGAUGGAAGUAAAGUAGAGAAUUAAUGAGUGGCAGGAAGAGUAUGGCCCAUGCGGUGGUUGAAGAAAAUGAAGUCUGGCCCAAGUCGAAUGGAUCACAACAGGAUGUUGAUUUACAUGAAAGUCAUGCAAUAUAACAAUGAGAUCUAAGUGGAAAUCAUGAUGCAAUCGGUUGCAAUUUGCUGAGAAAAGUGGUUGAAGAUGUGUUCUUCAUACUGCUGAAAAACCAUUUCUUCACCUCCAAUUUCCCUAAUUCAAACUUGUUUUGAGUCCCACAACUCAAUCUAAGGCUCCAAGAGAAUAGUAAGGAAUACCUUGUGGUGGUUCACAACCAAAGAAAAAGAAGAUUGCAGCUGAAGAUCGUGAUUCAAGAAGUACUUCAAAAGUUAGUAUCGAAGAUCUCUUUUUAGUUUAUGAGCAUGUUGAAUUUGAAGCCAAAAUUAAUGAAUUAGAAUGCUUAAUGAUCCUGUUCUUUUUUUUUCAUGACUUGUUUUUGUAUUUUAACACUUCCACCAUGACCAUGGGCACGAUGUAGCUACCUAAAGGAAUACGUCGGAAGGCUCCAGCUCAAAAGAUCACAAAGACAAAGCCAAUAAGUGUUAGUAUCACCGAUCCUUUAAGGAUCGGACAAAUGCUUGAAGGUAAUCUCCACUGUCUGGAGGACCAACAAAAAGACUCAUUGGAAGAAAAAUAAAGACUCUUGCCUGAGAAGCCCGUAGAGACAAACCAACUGGGAUUUGGACGAUUGAGUUAGCCAAGUCGAACUGUCCUAUCGACUUCAUCAAAAAGAAAGCUUAGGCCCAUCUACAAUUGCACAGCGAUACACUAUUCAUCUCUCUCGCGAGUUGGCACAACUCUAGUGUGGAGAAUGUUGGUGGAUGGGGGCAGCUCUAUCAACAUCUUGUUCAUGUCUACGUUCGAACAACUUGACUGGGCAAGAAGCAACUUAAAGAGGUUUCCCACCCUAUAAGUUAUAUUUUUCAGAGAACGAGUAGUUCAAGAGGGUUAGUAGACCUCUCUAUCAAACUCAGGGAAUGAGUCGAUCGCAUAAGUAAAACUAUGUAGUUUGUGGUGGUCAACAGCUUAAGCCCAUACAACAAUUUUAGGUAGACCCACUAUUUACGCCCUAGGUGUCAAGUUGUCUAUCUACCAUUAGUUGAUCGAGUUUUUAACCCCAAAUGGGUUUGAAACUGUCAAAGGAGAAUAGUGUGCCUCACAAAAAUGUUACGCCACUACGUUAAAAAACACCUAGACCAACUGAGUCCACAAUCUGACGUCCUCAAUCUCCUUUCACUUUACUUGGGAACCUCUCACCCUAUGUAUUUUAAUCAAUUUCAUCCCCAACCCAAGACAAGCAAAAUUAUUUAAUGUUUAUUUCCUUAAGUGACAUCACUUCUUCCUUUCACUUUAUUUCCCCAUGUUACGUUAAACUCGGGCCAAAUUUUAGAGCCACAACCACAAUUGCUCCUUAAGGAUGAAUGUGUGCACAAAAAAAAAGGGGGAAAAAGAAAAGUAGCACUAAAAAAAUUGAGUUAGAAUCUUGAGCUAUCUUAGAAUAAAUAUUUAAUCCUAAUAACGUUGCAAAAAGAGGGAGAUGAUGAUGAGAUGAGUAAACAAGAAAAAAAAUCAUCAAAAGCCCAACUCUCCAAGGCAAGAUAGGAAAAAAUACCAAUUAAAAUGAUCACGGUGUUGAGGAAUGACUAUCAUCCUGUCCAUGAGCAAGAGGACAUCGUAGGUUAGACAGGUGAAGAACUCACCCCGACCAAACACGUCCCCAAAAAAACCUGGGAAGGGUACAUAAAGCACGCUCAACCAGUACACCAUCACAAGAAAGCAGCUUCAACCAACUAGGCAUUUUUAACUAGCAAGUUGCUUAUCUAGAAAGGCCGAAGAAGACACCCUGAAAAGGGCAACCUCCAAAACCCCAAACACGACAAGUUGAAGAGCUAUCAAGGGUAUCGACUAACUUUUGGGCCAAUUGAUGACAAGUGCAAAUAGCUACAAAAGGUAACUACUUCAGUGAUGACUCAACCAGGGUCUCGACCUAAACAUGAAAAAACAUAACUUUUAUAGAACUAGUUGAACAGUAUUUGGUACACCUCAGGUCGAGACAUAGAAAGUAGAUACCAGUCAUACUUGUCGAUGAUCUAAGCCUCUAGGGAUCCAAUCAAAACAAUCUAAUGAAUAAGAAUCGUUUUUAACUUUCAAAGAGGGGAACAUAUAUACCCCAAGGAUUGAGGCAAAAAAAUGUUGUAAAUAACAAAAUGAAAAAAAAAAUAGGUGGAUAGCACAAAUACAAUGUCAAGCACAAUGUCACAAAUAAUAUGUAUGACAAGUAGGCAACACGAAAGAAAACAAAAAAAUAACGACAUGGAGAUUGAUAACCUAGUUCAGUGCAAAAUCACCUACGUCUGAGGGGUUGUGUGCCCAAUGGAAUGAAACUUCACUAUAUAAAGAGUUCAGCAAUUACAAUGAAAGUACUUAUCUGAUAGACUCCCCCUUCCGUGACUCACAUAUAGCUUCCUCUUUAGUUUCAACUUAGGCUCCCUCUAAGUUUGAGCUCCCCUCACUUCCACAAUAAUGUUUUUCCAAGUUUUGUAUGAUAUCCCUCAAUACAAAUACUUAAGCUCCCCCUAAGAGUGAGAUCUUCUCAUACUCAUCAUAUUUAGGCUCCCCUAAAUAUGAGUUUUUAUCAUCUUGAAUGUACUUAGGCUCCCCUUAAAUACAAUAUCAAAUCAAACUCUUCCUGAAUUCCACAUGUUGAGUUUUUAGCAAAAUAUUAGAAGUGCAGUUGUCCUACAUAAAAAAGAUUUAGAAAAGUUCUGGUCUUGUCCUACAUUGAAAAGGUUUAGGAAAGUCAUGGGCUUGUCUUACAUAAAAAAAAAAAAAAAAAAAAAAAAAAAA